This 254-nucleotide ribosomal RNA is filed under the name uncultured bacterium. RNAcentral describes it as "partial 16S ribosomal RNA". It matches the Rfam family "Bacterial small subunit ribosomal RNA", at positions 524 to 776 of the family's 1533-position model. The record is from RNAcentral.
UACAGAGGAGCCAAGCGUUGUCCGGAUUGACUGGGCGUAAAGCGCACGCAGGCGGAGGCGCGCGUGGGGUGUGAAAUCUGGCCGCUUAACGGCCAGGCGCCAUCCCAUACGGCGCCUCUGGAGGGCUGCAGAGGUCGAUGGAAUUGCCGGUGUAGUGGUGAAAUGCGUAGAGAUCGGCAGGAACACCCAGGGGGAAACCAGUCGACUGGGCAGCACCUGACGCUGAGGUGCGAGAGCGUGGGGGAGCGAACCGG